RNAcentral lists this ribosomal RNA (890 nucleotides) under Prolixibacter bellariivorans. RNAcentral's name for it is "bacterial SSU rRNA". It matches the Rfam family "Bacterial small subunit ribosomal RNA", at positions 94 to 985 of the family's 1533-position model. Lineage: Bacteria; Pseudomonadati; Bacteroidota; Bacteroidia; Marinilabiliales; Prolixibacteraceae. The record is from RNAcentral.
AGUGGCGCACGGGUGAGUAACGCGUAUGCAACCUGCCCUGUACAGGGGGAUAGCCCGGAGAAAUCCGGAUUAAUACCCCAUAGUUUUUAUGAGUCGCAUGGCUUAUAAAAUAAAGUUUCGGCGGUACAGGAUGGGCAUGCGUGGCAUUAGCUAGUUGGUAAGGUAACGGCUUACCAAGGCGACGAUGCCUAGGGGUUCUGAGAGGAUGAUCCCCCACACUGGGACUGAGACACGGCCCAGACUCCUACGGGAGGCAGCAGUGAGGAAUAUUGGUCAAUGGGCGAGAGCCUGAACCAGCCAUCCCGCGUGCAGGAUGACGGCCCUACGGGUUGUAAACUGCUUUUAUGUACCAAGAAUGUGUUCUACGUGUAGGAUUUUGACGGUAGUACAUGAAUAAGCAUCGGCUAACUCCGUGCCAGCAGCCGCGGUAAUACGGAGGAUGCAAGCGUUAUCCGGAUUCAUUGGGUUUAAAGGGUGCGUAGGCGGCUAUAUAAGUCAGUGGUGAAAUGCUGCAGCUCAACUGUAGAACUGCCAUUGAAACUGUAUAGCUUGAGUGCGCCUGAGGUAGGCGGAAUGAGUAGUGUAGCGGUGAAAUGCUUAGAUAUUACUCAGAACACCGAUUGCGAAGGCAGCUUACUAAAGCGUAACUGACGCUGAUGCACGAAAGCGUGGGGAGCGAACAGGAUUAGAUACCCUGGUAGUCCACGCCGUAAACGAUGAUAACUCGCUGUUGGCGAUACACAGUCAGCGGCUUAGCGAAAGCAUUAAGUUAUCCACCUGGGGAGUACGAUCGCAAGGUUGAAACUCAAAGGAAUUGACGGGGGCCCGCACAAGCGGAGGAACAUGUGGUUUAAUUCGAUGAUACGCGAGGAACCUUACCUGGGCUUAAA